RNAcentral lists this long non-coding RNA (2696 nucleotides) under Xyrichtys novacula (pearly razorfish). Lineage: Eukaryota; Metazoa; Chordata; Actinopteri; Labriformes; Labridae. The record is from RNAcentral.
UGCGGUUUGGGAUAUUUUUAGACACAAAUUGAGAAGAGGACUCAGUCUGAGAAGCCUGACUGUCUGCUUCGACUGACUGGCGAGAGCAGCGACUUGUAAAAAAAAAAAGCAGCUCGGCAUAAAACCGAGAGGAUGAGGUUUCUGAUGUCAAAUACUCACUGAUAAACCAGGUGGACCGGGUCAAGGGUACAGACUUUCUCAUGGUAGGAGGUUUAAAUGAAGUGAUUUUAGAUUGAAUUUUGUAGAUCACUUAAAAAAAAAAAAAAAACAGGUCAUAUUUUACAGUCAGGAGGGAAAAAAUUUCAGUUAGUCAGUAAAUUAGUCUACCUGAUUUUUGUUACAAUCUCAAAAACUAUAGCAACGAUCGAUCAAUGUACCUACAGAAGAUUUUUACAUCUAUGUAAACAUCAAUAAUUAAGUAAAUUAAAGCUCCUCUGAGUAGAUUUUUGGCUCUUUUUUUAAACACUGAAACUAAAAUUAAUCCCUCUUUGUGCCUUGACACCUGGAGAUUGUCUAAUAUUCCAGAUUAUAAAUCCUCAUCUGUCUAUUUUGAUUCAUUUACAAAAUAAAAAAUAAAACCGGUGUACACACUGACGCUAACUUCUAAGAGUUGACAUUAGAAUCUAAAGAGACGACACUUUACACUCUCAAAACUUUACCGGUGAUUUUAUCUAAUUUUAGUAAAAAUGUUUAAUUAGGCUUAAUUUAAUCCACAUUUACUUUACAAACCUAAAAAAAAUUCUUAUUUUUAAGUGACUAUAUGUCAAAAAUAAGACCUGAAUCACUUUUUAAAGUGUAAACAUGCCAGUGGAAUAAAAAUUACAUAUGUUGAAGAAAUUCUGAAAUAAAACAUGUCCUCAAUUUUAGAAACUUAAUCUCCAUUUUAAGAGACUUUUAAAUUUAAGAGCCUUUUUUACUAUUAAAUGUUUUUUUCUUUUUAAUCAUUGCAAUUUAGUCACAACUUUUAGGGUGUAAUAUCUUGAAAUAAGACCUUUUUUUCUGGACCUGUGUAGGUGAAUGUGGCUUCAAUUAAGACUUUUUAAUUUUAUUUAUUUAUUUUUACUAGAAGUAAAACAUAAACAGAGUGUGUUAAAGUCCAUUUCCCAUCACUUAUAAAAGUAGGUAAUUUGUUUAGUCUGGUUUAUUCCUUGUGAAAAUUAAAUGCUUGAUGGUUUUUCUAUUUUUUAUUUAUUUUUUAUUUUAUUUUAUUUAUUUUUAACAACAAAACAGAGUGACAAAAACAACAACAAGAACAACAACAAAAAAUCAAAUAGAAAAUUAACAAAAAUACUUUUGUGAGGGAGGGGGAAAGAAUAUAUAUAUGAUAGAGAAUUACAAAAUAAAUAAUAUAAUAAUAUUUAAAUGUUAAUAAAAUGGCAUCUCAAAAUAUGUAAAAUACACACUUAAGUGCGUUAACAUUUCCUUUUGAGUUUAGGUAACUUGUAAAUUUUGAAUAUCUCUUCAGCUCGUUAAAAACACGUAACCACAAUCCAGCGAAAGCUUCUUAAACAGAUGUUUAGUUUUUACAUGGGGCUCUAUGGGGGUCGACUCACUUUUAGAUGCAGCCUCUAGUGGACAUUCACGGAAUUACAAAUUUUGGCACUUUUGCUUCUUCAUCAGUUAACUUUACUGUCUUUUUCUAGAGAGUAUGAAACAUCAAAUCUAGUUUCUCUCUUUACUUUUCUUUUUCUAAAUCAAAUUUAGAGUCUGUGUUACGAAAUCUUCGUCUUUAUUUCUCGUCUCUUCAAACUCAGACCGCAGCAGUGGGCAGAAACAUAUUAAAACACCUCUUCUGUUAAAUUCGGACGGUCACUUGUUUUUGUACGUUGGACACAUGUAAUAGAAGAACUGAUAAUACCUUUAAGGGGGUGGAUGACAUGAGGAGGAUAUUAGUGAUGUCCAAACUGAGGCGUCCUUUUUACGAGCCGCGUGAACUUCAUCCCCGGAUAAUAAAACGUGUUUUGUUCGACGUCUCCUCUGAAAAGUUCGCUCUCAUCUGCGAGGCUUUCAGCGAUCAUUGUUUCAGUUUACAGUUUGUGUACAUGCAUCAUCGGUAUAAACUGUUAAAAGCCGCUUUUUCAUCCUUUUGUACGGGACACGUCGAGAGCUUUUCAACAACCUGCUAUGUAAUCUGAAUGCGUUAUUAUUUUAUUCAAGGAACAGCUGAAAAGGAGAGCGAGAGAGAGAGAGAUGAGAGUUUUUAAACAAAGUCCCUCGCUCGGCCGUUGUGUGGGCUGCUCUGCUGAAUAAAAAACCGGCUUUCAUCUCUCUCUUUCUCUCUCUUUUCUCUCUCUCUCUACAUCAACCUCCCCUCCACCAACUCAGUGUCAAGUUCUGCUAUGAGACACACAAUGAUCUGUGAGUGUGUGUGCGGUGGAAUGAGGAGCUGGCUGUCCUUUUGGCAGGCAGCGGUAUACUGAAGCACCUCUCAGAGAAAAAAAAAACGGGACUAUUAUUGAACUGCUGAGAAACGCUCUCAUCUCGCUGUGGAACACAUUGCUUUCGCUCCUUUCUUUCUCACACAUAAAUGCAGUUAAACACGCUCAGGGCUGCUCCACACUUACACAUAUGUCUCUGCAGUAAAGGUCCCGAAGGAGAACCGCCGAGUCAAGCUGUGCCUGAUGGAGUUCCUCAGGGAACGUACUGAGGUCCUCCGAACUUUGAGUGGAUGAUAAAUAAACCCCAAACUCCACUUU